UGGGGAAUAUUGCGCAAUGGGCGAAAGCCUGACGCAGCGACGCCGCGUGAGGGAUGACGGCCUUCGGGUUGUAAACCUCUUUCAGCAGGGACGAAGUGCAAAUGACGGUACCUGCAGAAGAAGCGCCGGCUAACUACGUGCCAGCAGCCGCGGUAAGACGUAGGGCGCGAGCGUUGUCCGGAUUUAUUGGGCGUAAAGAGCUCGUAGGCGGUUUGUCACGUCUGUCGUGAAAGAUCCAGGCUUAACCUGGGUUCUGCGGUGGAUACGGGCAGACUUGAGGCAAGUAGGGGAGAUCGGAAUUCCACGUGUAGCGGUGAAAUGCGCAGAUAUGUGGAGGAACACCGGUGGCGAAGGCGGAUCUCUGGGCUUGUUCUGACGCUGAGGAGCGAAAGCGUGGGGAGCGAACAGG
RNAcentral lists this ribosomal RNA (409 nucleotides) under uncultured bacterium. RNAcentral's name for it is "bacterial SSU rRNA". It matches the Rfam family "Bacterial small subunit ribosomal RNA", at positions 355 to 776 of the family's 1533-position model. The record is from RNAcentral.